GCAAGUCGCACGAGAAAGUUCUUCGGAACGAGUAGAGUGGCGCACGGGUGAGUAACGCGUGGGAAUAUGCCCUUCUCUAAGGAAUAGCCUCUGGAAACGGAGAGUAAUACCUUAUACGCCCUUUGGGGGAAAGAUUUAUCGGAGAAGGAUUAGCCCGCGUUAGAUUAGGUAGUUGGUGGGGUAAUGGCCUACCAAGCCUACGAUCUAUAGCUGGUUUGAGAGGAUGAUC
This 229-nucleotide ribosomal RNA is filed under the name uncultured bacterium. Its description in RNAcentral is "partial 16S ribosomal RNA". It matches the Rfam family "Bacterial small subunit ribosomal RNA", at positions 57 to 305 of the family's 1533-position model. The record is from RNAcentral.